GGCUCAGGAUGAACGCUGGCGGCGUGCCUAACACAUGCAAGUCGAACGAACCUUGGGGAACAGAUUACUUCGGUUUGAAGUUCCCCGCUGGUUAGUGGCGGACGGGUGAGUAACGCGUGGAUAACCUGCCAUACACUGGGGGAUAACAGCUGGAAACAGCUGCUAAUACCGCAUAAAACUGUAGAGUCGCAUGACUUUAUAGCCAAAGCUCCGGCGGUGUAUGAUGGAUCCGCGUCUGAUUAGGCAGUUGGCGGGUAACGGCCCACCAAACCGACGAUCAGUAGCCGACCUGAGAGGGUGACCGGCCACAUUGGGACUGAGACACGGCCCAGACUCCUACGGGAGGCAGCAGUGGGGAAUAUUGCACAAUGGAGGAAACUCUGAUGCAGCGACGCCGCGUGAGCGAUGAAGUAUUUCGGUAUGUAAAGCUCUAUCAGCAGGGAAGAUAAUGACGGUACCUGACUAAGAAGCUCCGGCUAAAUACGUG
Molecule: ribosomal RNA, 487 nt
Filed under: uncultured bacterium
Lineage: Bacteria
Description: bacterial SSU rRNA
Rfam family: Bacterial small subunit ribosomal RNA
Source: RNAcentral